CCAGCAGCCGCGGUAAUACCAGCUCCACUAGCUUAUACAAUCAUUGUUGCGGUUAAGAGGCUCGUAGUUGGAUUGAAUAAAACAUAUAUACACAAUACUGUGAACAAACCAGAGUGUAUAAAACAUGUAAUAUAUUAUAUAUUUAGCAAUGAAUGUUUUAUCAUGGAAUAUUGCUAUAAUGAAUAUUAAUAUCGAUGGAGAUAGUUGGAGUUAAGAGUACUGAUAGGCGAGCGGUGAAAUGCAUUGACCCUAUUAAGACUAACAAAAGCGAAAGCACUUAACUAGAUUAUUCUCUUUGUAUUAUUUUACAAUGAAGAGCGAAGGUUGGGGGAACAAAGAGGAUCAGAUACCCUCGUAGUCCUAUUUUUACAUCAAACUAUGGGAUUUCAUUCACACUAAACACUAAACAUUAUAAUUAUAAUUAUGAUUGAGUAUAUGUCAAAAUAUUACUCUCAUAUUAAAUAAUUAUUAUAUAUAUGAUUAUAUGUACUUUGAGCUCAUAUAAUUAUAUAGGUGAGAUGUAAGCAUUAUAAAGUGAAUAAUAUACAAGUAAUAUUGUAUUAUUAUGAUCUUUAAAAUAAAAAAUGUAAUGUGAUGCACGUUUUAGGUACGAGCUUACUAUAGAAAUAUUUAAAAUAAUACCCUCCUGGGGUAGUAUGCACGCAAGUGUGAAACUUGAAGGAAUUGACGGAAGGGCCCACAAGAACGCGUGGAGCAUGUGGCUUAAUUUGACUCAACCCGGGAAAUCUUACCAGGUCCAGACAUAUUGAGGAUUGACAGGCGAUAGUAUAUAAUUCAUUUAUAUGCAUAAAAAUGAUAGUCCUUUCAUGAUUAUAUGAUAGGUGGUGCAUGGCCGUUCUUAGUUCGUGGAGUGAUUUGUCUGCUUAAUUGCGUUUCAGUAAAUAAAAUAUAUAAUAUAUUAUAAUAUUUAGUUCUGCCUUGAAUAUUAUUCAAGGAUUUAAAGUGAACAUAUUAUAUAUAUUAUUAUAUAAUAAAUGAAUGCAAC
This 1006-nucleotide ribosomal RNA is filed under the name Marginopora vertebralis. Its description in RNAcentral is "SSU rRNA". It matches the Rfam family "Eukaryotic small subunit ribosomal RNA", at positions 567 to 1454 of the family's 1831-position model. The record is from RNAcentral. Lineage: Eukaryota; Foraminifera; Miliolida; Soritidae.